Molecule: microRNA precursor, 81 nt
Filed under: Manduca sexta (tobacco hornworm)
Lineage: Eukaryota; Metazoa; Arthropoda; Insecta; Lepidoptera; Sphingidae
Description: mir-998 microRNA precursor family
Rfam family: mir-998 microRNA precursor family
Source: Rfam by way of RNAcentral
CCUGGCGCGGCCGCGAGCUGCAUCCCGUGCGGCUGCAGUGCUGCGUGUAGCACCAUGGGAUUCAGCUCACGGCGCGCCACU